GGGGCUGUAAGGGUUUUGACAGAAAGUUGUGGUAGCAAGGGUUGCGAGCCGAAGACGCUAACCUCUCUUCGUUAAACACAUGUUAGCAACGUCAUAAAUGCAGACGUAAACACGCUUAUUGCUGAACAGAGAAAGAUGGGUUUGAACGCCUUCCUGCAAAUGGUUGGCUAUCAGCCCGCUCCUGCUUUAGCAAACGUUCCUGCUUAAAUAUAAGCAGGCCGUCUCCUAAGCUUUGCCAAAGGGUUUAGGGUCAGACGUUAUUUUUUGGCUGCUCAACUAGUCUUUUCUGUUUGGCUGGUUGCUAAGACUUACAUCAGAUAGCGCAGGGAACAACCGUGCUUUAGGUUAAGCCCUGGGUGAAAUUUUUAACAAAAGCUACGCUCGUAGAUACUUUUGCGCUGCCUUUUUGGACAGGGGUUCGACUCCCCUCAGCUCCACCA
RNAcentral lists this transfer-messenger RNA (440 nucleotides) under Candidatus Saganbacteria bacterium CG08_land_8_20_14_0_20_45_16. It matches the Rfam family "transfer-messenger RNA". From Rfam's summary of the family: Bacterial tmRNA, also known as 10Sa RNA or SsrA, is named for its dual tRNA and mRNA-like properties. Lineage: Bacteria; Bacillati. The record is from RNAcentral.